CCCCCCGUGCCCUCCAGACU
RNAcentral lists this microRNA (20 nucleotides) under Anolis carolinensis (green anole). RNAcentral's name for it is "aca-miR-5404". The record is from miRBase by way of RNAcentral. Lineage: Eukaryota; Metazoa; Chordata; Lepidosauria; Squamata; Anolidae.